RNAcentral lists this ribosomal RNA (497 nucleotides) under uncultured bacterium. RNAcentral describes it as "partial 16S ribosomal RNA". It matches the Rfam family "Bacterial small subunit ribosomal RNA", at positions 28 to 507 of the family's 1533-position model. The record is from RNAcentral.
GACGAACGCUGGCGGCGUGCCUAAUACAUGCAAGUUGAGCGCUGAAGGUUGGUACUUGUACCAACUGGAUGAGCAGCGCACGGGUGAGUAACGCGUGGGGAAUCUGCCUUUGAGCGGGGGACAACAUCUGGAAACGAAUGCUAAUACCGCAUAAAAACUUUAAACACAAGUUUUAAGUUUGAAAGAUGCAAUUGCAUCACUCAAAGAUGAUCCCGCGUUGUAUUAGCUAGUUGGUGAGGUAAAGGCUCACCAAGGCGAUGAUACAUAGCCGACCUGAGAGGGUGAUCGGCCUCAAUGGGACUGUGACACGGCCCAAGCUUCUCCGGGAGGCCACAGUAACGGAUCUUCGGCCAUGGGCGAAAGUCUGAACGAGGGAAGCCGCCUGGGUGAAGAAGGUUCUCGGGUCGUCAAACUCUGUUGGUAGAGGAGAACGUUGGUGAGAGUGAACAGCUCAUAAAGUGACGGUACCUACCCAGAAAGGGACGGCUAACUACGUG